GCUAUUUAGGUAGCGCCUCGUGAAUUCAUCUCCGGGGGUAGAGCACUGUUUCGGCAAGGGGGUCAUCCCGACUUACCAACCCGAUGCAAACUGCGAAUACCGGAGAAUGUUAUCACGGGAGACACACGGCGGGUGCUAACGUCCGUCGUGAAGAGGGAAACAACCCAGACCGCCAGCUAAGGUCCCAAAGUCAUGGUUAAGUGGGAAACGAUGUGGGAAGGCCCAGACAGCCAGGAUGUUGGCUUAGAAGCAGCCAUCAUUUAAAGAAAGCGUAAUAGCUCACUGGUCGAGUCGGCCUGCGCGGAAGAUGUAACGGGGCUAAACCAUGCACCGAAGCUGCGGCAGCGACGCUUAUGCGUUGUUGGGUAGGGGAGCGUUCUGUAAGCCUGUGAAGGUGUGCUGUGAGGCAUGCUGGAGGUAUCAGAAGUGCGAAUGCUGACAUAAGUAACGAUAAAGCGGGUGAAAAGCCCGCUCGCCGGAAGACCAAGGGUUCCUGUCCAACGUUAAUCGGGGCAGGGUGAGUCGACCCCUAAGGCGAGGCCGAAAGGCGUAGUCGAUGGGAAACAGGU
RNAcentral lists this non-coding RNA (569 nucleotides) under Tumebacillus flagellatus. Its description in RNAcentral is "Bacterial large subunit ribosomal RNA". It matches the Rfam family "Bacterial large subunit ribosomal RNA", at positions 865 to 1430 of the family's 2925-position model. The record is from Rfam by way of RNAcentral. Lineage: Bacteria; Bacillati; Bacillota; Bacilli; Caryophanales; Alicyclobacillaceae.